GGGGAUUUACGGGUGACCGCUGGGUUUUUUUGAAUACACUAAAACUUUUUGUGAACAGCCAAUUUUAUAUUUAACUCCUGUAGGAAAUACACUAUUUUAAAAAACUCAGAGGAAAGUCCGGACUCCAAGAUGGCAGCGUAAAAGGUGAAAACCUUUCCACCUUUCAAAGGUGAGGACAAGUGGAACAGAAAGUAUGUCCGGGCCUUUAUAUAAAGGCUGCUGGAGUGAAAUCAGCUAAACUCUACGCGGAGCAAGGUCGAAUAGGAAAGCGUUUGAGUCGAGCCAUGACAAGCUUUCGGGUUGACCGCAAAGAUGAAUGUUCGCCUCCUUGCUGUUUUUCCGGUUAAACAGAAGAAGACAGAAUCCGGCUUACAGUAAAUCCCUUUCA
RNAcentral lists this RNase P RNA (388 nucleotides) under Bdellovibrionales bacterium. RNAcentral's name for it is "RNase P RNA component class A". It matches the Rfam family "Bacterial RNase P class A". From Rfam's summary of the family: Ribonuclease P (RNase P) is a ubiquitous endoribonuclease, found in archaea, bacteria and eukarya as well as chloroplasts and mitochondria. Its best characterised activity is the generation of mature 5'-ends of tRNAs by cleaving the 5'-leader elements of precursor-tRNAs. Lineage: Bacteria; Pseudomonadati; Bdellovibrionota; Bdellovibrionia; Bdellovibrionales. The record is from RNAcentral.